This 76-nucleotide transfer RNA is filed under the name Alteromonadaceae bacterium. RNAcentral describes it as "tRNA-Arg". It matches the Rfam family "tRNA". From Rfam's summary of the family: Transfer RNA (tRNA) molecules are approximately 80 nucleotides in length. Their secondary structure includes four short double-helical elements and three loops (D, anti-codon, and T loops). The record is from RNAcentral. Lineage: Bacteria; Pseudomonadati; Pseudomonadota; Gammaproteobacteria; Alteromonadales; Alteromonadaceae. RNAcentral also lists the same sequence under 1 other name.
GCCUUCGUAGCAUAAUGGAUAAUGCAGUCCCCUCCUAAGGGAAAGAUUGCAGGUUCGACUCCUGCCGAAGGCGCCA